AGCAUGCGGCUUAAUUUGACUCAACACGGGAAAACUUACCCGGCCCGGACACAGGAAGGAUUGACAGAUUAAGAGCUCUUUCUUGAUUCUGUGGGUGGUGGUGCAUGGCCGUUCUUAGUUGGUGGAGCGAUUUGUCUGGUUAAUUCCGAUAACGAACGAGACUCUAGCCUACUAAAUAGACGUUCCGAUCCACUGCGUCGGACGUUCUUCUUAGAGGGACAAGCGGCGUUUAGCCGCACGAGACAGAGCAAUAACAGGUCAGUGAUGCCCUUAGAUGUUCGGGGCCGCACGCGCGCUACAUUGAAGGAAUCAGCGUGUGCUUUCCCUGUCCGACAGGACUGGGUAACCCGUUGAAACUCUUUCGUGCUGGGGAUAGGAACUUGUAAUUGUUUUCCUUGAACGAGGAAUUCCCAGUAAGCGCGAGUCAUAAGCUCGCGUUGAUUACGUCCCUGCCCUUUGUACACACCGCCCGUCGCUACUACCGAUUGAACGAUUUAGUGAGGUCUUCGGACUGGCGCUCGGAGCGGCUUUCGGGUCGUGCCGGCGUGCCGGAAAGAUGACCGAAC
This 566-nucleotide ribosomal RNA is filed under the name Portia labiata. Its description in RNAcentral is "SSU rRNA". It matches the Rfam family "Eukaryotic small subunit ribosomal RNA", at positions 1180 to 1764 of the family's 1831-position model. The record is from RNAcentral. Lineage: Eukaryota; Metazoa; Arthropoda; Arachnida; Araneae; Salticidae.